GAUGAACGCUGGCGGCGUGCCUAAUACAUGCAAGUCGAGCGAACAGACGAGGAGCUUGCUCCUCUGACGUUAGCGGCGGACGGGUGAGUAACACGUGGAUAACCUACCUAUAAGACUUGGAUAACUUCGGGAAACCGGAGCUAAUACCGGAUAAUAUAUUGAACCGCAUGGUUCAAUAGUGAAAGACGGUUUUGCUGUCACUUAUAGAUGGAUCCGCGCCGCAUUAGCUAGUUGGUAAGGUAACGGCUUACCAAGGCAACGAUGCGUAGCCGACCUGAGAGGGUGAUCGGACACACUGGAACUGAGACACGGUCCAGACUCCUACGGGAGGCAGCAGUAGGGAAUCUUCCGCAAUGGGCGAAAGCCUGACGGAGCAACGCCGCGUGAGUGAUGAAGGUCUUCGGAUCGUAAAACUCUGUUAUUAGGGAAGAACAAAUGUGUAAGUAACUAUGCACGUCUUGACGGUACCUAAUCAGAAAGCCACGGCUAACUACGUG
Molecule: ribosomal RNA, 497 nt
Filed under: uncultured bacterium
Lineage: Bacteria
Description: partial 16S ribosomal RNA
Rfam family: Bacterial small subunit ribosomal RNA
Source: RNAcentral